GGUUAAGCGACUAAGCGUACACGGUGGAUGCCCUGGCAGUCAGAGGCGAUGAAGGACGUGCUAAUCUGCGAUAAGCGUCGGUAAGGUGAUAUGAACCGUUAUAACCGGCGAUUUCCGAAUGGGGAAACCCAGUGUGUUUCGACACACUAUCAUUACGUGAAUACAUAGCGUAAUGAAGCGAACCGGGGGAACUGAAACAUCUAAGUACCCCGAGGAAAAGAAAUCAACCGAGAUUCCCCCAGUAGCGGCGAGCGAACGGGGAGCAGCCCAGAGUCUGAAUCAGCUUGUGUGUUAGUGGAACGGUCUGGAAAGUCCGACGGUACAGGGUGAUAGUCCCGUACACCAAAAUGCACAGGUUGUGAACUCGAAGAGUAGGGCGGGACACGUGGUAUCCUGUCUGAAUAUGGGGGGACCAUCCUCCAAGGCUAAAUACUCCUGACUGACCGAUAGUGAACCAGUACCGUGAGGGAAAGGCGAA
Molecule: ribosomal RNA, 478 nt
Filed under: Salmonella enterica subsp. enterica serovar Heidelberg
Lineage: Bacteria; Pseudomonadati; Pseudomonadota; Gammaproteobacteria; Enterobacterales; Enterobacteriaceae
Description: partial 23S ribosomal RNA
Rfam family: Bacterial large subunit ribosomal RNA
Source: RNAcentral